CCGCGUGAGUGAAGAAGGCCUUCGGGUUGUAAAGCUCUUUUGUCAGGGAAGAAACAGCAGCUCUAACACAGUCUGCGAAUGACGGUACCUGAAGAAUAAGCACCGGCUAACUACGUGCCAGCAGCCGCGGUAAUACGUAGGGUGCAAGCGUUAAUCGGAAUUACUGGGCGUGAAGCGUGCGCAGGCGGUUAUACAAGACAGGCGUGAAAUCCCCGGGCUUAACCUGGGAAUGGCGUCUGUGACUGUAUAGCUAGAGUGUGUCAGAGGGGGGUGGAAUUCCACGUGUAGCAGUGAAAUGCGUAGAUAUGUGGAGGAACACCAAUGGCGAAGGCAGCCCCCUGGGAUAACACUGACGCUCAUGCACGAAAGCGUGGGGAGCAAACAGGAUUAGAUACCCUGGUAGUCCACGCCCUAAACGAUGCUGACUAGUUGUUGGGAAUCUACAUUCUCAGUAACGUAGCUAACGCGUGAAGUCAGCCGCCUGGGGAGUACGGUCGCAAGAUUAAAACUCAAAGGAAUUGACGGGGACCCGCACAAGCGGUGGAUGAUGUGGAUUAAUUCGAUGCAACGCGAAAAAGCUUACCUACCCUUGACAUGUCACUAACGAAGUAGAGAUACAUUAGGUGCCCCGUAGGGAGAGUGU
Molecule: ribosomal RNA, 643 nt
Filed under: uncultured archaeon
Lineage: Archaea
Description: bacterial SSU rRNA
Rfam family: Bacterial small subunit ribosomal RNA
Source: RNAcentral